GGGGAUUUAGCUUAGUUGGUAAAGUGCUUGCUUCGAAUGCAUAAGGCCCUGGGUUCAAUCCCCAACAUCACCC
This is a non-coding RNA of Ictidomys tridecemlineatus (thirteen-lined ground squirrel), 73 nucleotides long. The record is from Rfam. Lineage: Eukaryota; Metazoa; Chordata; Mammalia; Rodentia; Sciuridae.